CCUGAACUCAAAAUAACCAU
This 20-nucleotide non-coding RNA is filed under the name Rattus norvegicus (Norway rat). Lineage: Eukaryota; Metazoa; Chordata; Mammalia; Rodentia; Muridae. The record is from RNAcentral.